Molecule: ribosomal RNA, 207 nt
Filed under: uncultured bacterium
Lineage: Bacteria
Description: partial 16S ribosomal RNA
Rfam family: Bacterial small subunit ribosomal RNA
Source: RNAcentral
CGAGUAGGCGGUUUAGUAAGUUGUAUGUGAAAUACCAGGGCUUAACUUUGGGGCGGCAUACAAGACUGAUAAACUAGAGAGCAGCAGAGGUAAGUGGAAUUUCCGGAGUAGCGGUGAAAUGCGUAGAUAUCGGAAGGAACAUCAGUGGCGAAGGCGACUUUCUGGGCUGCGACUGACGCUGAGGAGCGAAGGCAUGGGGAGCAAACA